RNAcentral lists this small nuclear RNA (106 nucleotides) under Mola mola (ocean sunfish). Lineage: Eukaryota; Metazoa; Chordata; Actinopteri; Tetraodontiformes; Molidae. The record is from RNAcentral.
GUGUUAGUUUGGUAGCACAUAUACUAAAAUUGGAACGAUACAGAGAUGAUUAGCAUUAGCACUGCGCAAGGAUGACACGCAAAUUCGUGAAGCGUUGCUCAUUUUA